GACGAACGCUGGCGGCGUGCUUAACACAUGCAAGUCGAACGGAAAGGCCCUGCUUUUGUGGGGUGCUCGAGUGGCGAACGGGUGAGUAACACGUGAGUAACCUGCCCUUGACUUUGGGAUAACUUCAGGAAACUGGGGCUAAUACCGGAUAGGAGCUCCUGCCGCAUGGUGGGGGUUGGAAAGUUUCGGCGGUUGGGGAUGGACUCGCGGCUUAUCAGCUUGUUGGUGGGGUAGUGGCUUACCAAGGCUUUGACGGGUAGCCGGCCUGAGAGGGUGACCGGCCACAUUGGGACUGAGAUACGGCCCAGACUCCUACGGGAGGCAGCAGUGGGGAAUAUUGCACAAUGGGCGGAAGCCUGAUGCAGCAACGCCGCGUGCGGGAUGACGGCCUUCGGGUUGUAAACCGCUUUCGCCUGUGACGAAGCGUGAGUGACGGUAAUGGAUAAAGAAGCACCGGCUAACUACGUG
RNAcentral lists this ribosomal RNA (468 nucleotides) under uncultured bacterium. RNAcentral describes it as "partial 16S ribosomal RNA". It matches the Rfam family "Bacterial small subunit ribosomal RNA", at positions 28 to 507 of the family's 1533-position model. The record is from RNAcentral.